RNAcentral lists this transfer RNA (69 nucleotides) under Neomysis orientalis. RNAcentral describes it as "tRNA-Ile". Lineage: Eukaryota; Metazoa; Arthropoda; Malacostraca; Mysida; Mysidae. The record is from RNAcentral.
UUUAUUUUGGUUUUCAAUUUAAGCUUUAUUUCUAUUAUAUUAUAAAAUUUUAUAUAAAUAUAAAUAAAA